This 187-nucleotide small nuclear RNA is filed under the name Ixodes scapularis (black-legged tick). Its description in RNAcentral is "U2 spliceosomal RNA". It matches the Rfam family "U2 spliceosomal RNA". Rfam says of the family: U2 is a small nuclear RNA (snRNA) component of the spliceosome (involved in pre-mRNA splicing). Lineage: Eukaryota; Metazoa; Arthropoda; Arachnida; Ixodida; Ixodidae. The record is from RNAcentral.
CCCCCUUUUGGGGGGGUUGUAAUUUUAUCCUUUAAAGAAUCUGUUCUUAUCAGCUUAAUAUCUGAUAUGGAUCUAAUUGAUCCAGGAUAUUAAAUUUAUUUUUGUGAGUGGUGUUCCAACGAAGCUUGCUUUGAGGACGCCAGGGUUGGUCCGGUGUUGCACUACUUCCGGGAGUGGCCCGUCCCCG